This 482-nucleotide ribosomal RNA is filed under the name uncultured bacterium. RNAcentral describes it as "partial 16S ribosomal RNA". It matches the Rfam family "Bacterial small subunit ribosomal RNA", at positions 30 to 507 of the family's 1533-position model. The record is from RNAcentral.
AUUGAACGCUGGCGGCAUGCCUUACACAUGCAAGUCGAACGGUAACAGGUCUUCGGAUGCUGACGAGUGGCGCACGGGUGAGUAAUACAUCGGAACGUGCCCGAUCGUGGGGGAUAACGAAGCGAAAGCUUUGCUAAUACCGCAUACGAUCUACGGAUGAAAGCAGGGGACCGCAAGGCCUUGCGCGAACGGAGCGGCCGAUGGCAGAUUAGGUAGUUGGUGGGAUAAAAGCUUACCAAGCCGACGAUCUGUAGCUGGUCUGAGAGGACGACCAGCCACACUGGGACUGAGACACGGCCCAGACUCCUACGGGAGGCAGCAGUGGGGAAUUUUGGACAAUGGGCGAAAGCCUGAUCCAGCCAUGCCGCGUGCAGGAUGAAGGCCUUCGGGUUGUAAACUGCUUUUGUACGGAACGAAAAGACUCUGGUUAAUACCUGGGGUCCAUGACGGUACCGGAAGAAUAAGCACCGGCUAACUACGUG